ACACACAGGACACACGGCCCCACUAGGGAGGCUGUGCCCCCUUCCAGGCUUGGGGUGGCUGCUGCUGUCUCAUCUUUGAGCUGAUGCCCCAUACUUCCUGCAGGAGCCGGUGUCCUGCCUGGGGCUGGCGGCAUCCCAGGGGUGGGCGGCGUGGUGCCCGGUGUCGGUGUUGUUCCAGGAGCUGGAGUGGGAGGCCCGGCAGCGGCAGCAGCUGCAGCGAAGGCAGCAGCGAAAGCAGGAGCCUAUGGUGAGUCCCUGCUCCUGAGCCCUGCUGGCGAGGCUUUGUGGGGCGCUUUGCUUUUGGGAUGCUCCCCCAGCCCACAGCCCUGCACGGAGAUGUGCACAGCUCCCAGGGACUGCAGUCCGUUAGCAGAGGGAUGGGCUGAGAUCUGCAGUUCCCUGCUCCCCCCUUGGCAGAAGCACUUAGUUUCACAGCAGCAAACCCGUGCUCAUUGGAGCAUCCAGAGGAAAUGCGUCAGCCCCAGCAGCAGCUGGGAUUGAUGAGCCCGUCCUUGGGGGACCUCGCGGUCCCGCCAGCUGCCACCAACUCCUGAGUGGCCACAUGGGCUGUAGGGCUGGGGAGCUGGGAAUCCCCUGCCUGGAUGUAUGCAUGCUGUGGGGACACUGCAUCAUGCACACUGCCGUGUGAACAUCACAGCGCUUGCAGAGCAGCACAGCAGUUGGCGAGCAUCUUCUUCCUCAUCCCAUGCCUGUGCCAGCAGUGCUAGGGGGAGCUCAUCCACCCUUGGUCCCCGGUGCAGCCCCAGGGGAUGUGCAUGGGGCACCUGAUCAGGGAGCUCUGGGCCCACUACAGCUUCCAGCUUUGCCUGGGGGACCUGUAGCCCCAUGCCAUCUCAUGCCAGUAGAGGACACCGUGUCCCCCAGCAGCACUUUGGGGUGCUCUGACUGCUCUGCUUCCCUCCAGGUGCAGGGGUGCUGCCCGGGGUCGGAGGUGUCCCAGGUCUUGUGCCUGGUGUCGGCGGUGUGCCUGGCUUGGUUCCUGGUGUCGGAGGUGUCCCUGGGGUGGCAGGAGUUGGGACACCAGCAGGAGCAGCAGCAGCAGCCAAGGCAGCUAAGUAUGGAGCUGGCGUUCCCGGUGUUGGCGUUCCCGGCGUUGGCGUUCCUGGCGUUGGCAUUGGAGGCGUGCCUGGUGUGCCUGGUGUGCCUGGUGUACCUGGUGUGCCUGGUGUACCUGGUGUGCCUGGUGUUCCUGGUGUGGCUGGUGUUCCUGGUGUGGUACCUGGCGUUGGAGGUGAGCAGAUGGGCUGGCAUGAGGGGACAACAUGGUGCCAGCUUCGCCAGUUCCCCUGACACCCUCUCUUCUGUUCCUGCAGUGGGUGGCCCAGCAGCUGCUGCUGCAGCAAAGGCUGCAGCAAAAGCAGCCGCAUUUGGAGCAGGGCGUGUGCCUGGGGUCGGCGUGCCUGGCGGUGUGCCUGGGGUCGGUGUACCAGGAGUCGGUGUUCCUGGAGUCGGAGUACCUGGAAUUGGUGUACCUGGAGUUGGAGUACCUGGGGUCGGUGUUCCCGGAGUUGGCGUACCCGGUCUGGUGCCUGGAGCUGGCCCAGCUGCUGCUGCUAAAGCAGCUGCCAAAGCUGCCAAGUACGCAGGAGCAGGUGGCUUGGCACCUGGCGUGGGAGGUCUGGCACCUGGCAUAGGAGGUCUGGCACCUGGUGUGGGAGGCCUUGCUCCUGGUGUAGGUGGCCUUGCUCCUGGUGUAGGUGGCCUGGCCCCUGGCGUUGGAGGUGUUCCAGGUGUUGGAGGUCCAGCAGCAGCCGCAAAAGCAGCAGCUAAGGCAGCCAAAUACGGUGCUGGUGUUGGAGGGGUGCCGGGUGCUGUGCCCGGUGCUCCUGGUGUGCCAGGAGUGACACCUGGCAUCGGUGGUGUGCCCGGCUUAGUGCCAGGCGUAGGGGUGCCCGGUGCCGGCGUUCUCCCCGGAGCAGGCAUCCCUCAGGUCGGGGUGCAGCCUGGUGCUAAGCCUCCCAAAUUCGGUGUGCCCGGGGCUGGGGUCCCAGGGGUCGGUGGCAUCCCAGGUGGCCUCGGAGUUGGUGGCCUUGGAGUUGGUGGCCUCGGUGCUGGUGAGUGGAGCUGGUGGGCUUGGUGUGGGAGUCCCAGGGAUGGAAGGGCUGAAAAAGAAAUGGCAUUUUGGGGAUGCAGAGCUACACUGUCCCCUCACAGCUGCGACUUGCAGGACUGGAUUUUGGGGAGCAGGAAAGGACAGGGGCAUGGGUCCCAUGGUCCCCAUAUCCCUACCCUGCUCUGUCACUCUGCCUUCUCUGUGCCCUGGGGUACAACAGGGAGGGGAUGGCCACAGCCCCAGCAUGGCCCAGGCCAUGGAGACAGGGAACUGUACAGCAGUGACCACAAUGUAUGAGACACCUGUGAAUCCUCUGGACUCAGUGUGGGGGCUCUGCUGAUGCCCCUCUUUGAUGUAGGGCUCUUGUAUCCAGGAGCUGCUGGAAAACCUCCUAAGCCAGGUAAGGAGCAGGGACAGCCGUGGCUGCACUCUGGUGAUACCCCCAUCCCCAUGCCUUCACCAGGGCUCUCCCUUCACACAGCUUUUGGUGCUGGGGGGCUGCAGCCAGGUGAGCGCUGGGGCUGAGGGUUGAGGUGGGGCUGUCACUGCCCACACUGCUGUGCUCCGUGUCUCCAUGCCACUGCCUCGCGGGGCGCACCGGGUGGGCAUAGUGGGGAUGUGGCUUUUGGGGCAGCUCGCAGCCAGCUGUAGGCUGGGGACACCGUAGACAUGCAGGGCUGUCACUGCUUGUCACUGCUGUCACUUUUCCCCCCCAGGGGCUGGAGUUCCCGGUUUUGGUGUGUCACCGAUAUUUCCAGGUACUUUUCCCUGUGCCCUUUGCCCAUGAGGACACACAGCCCACAGGGACAUACAGCCCAUAGGGCAUGGGGACGUGGCCACAGGGGAGUGGGGCAGGGCUGGGCUGGGGGGCACAGGGCAGAGCAUCCGGAAGCCAAUGAGGUUUUACUGUGCUUGCAGGUGGGGUUGGUGGCCAGCUGGGAUUUGGCGGUGAGUGCACUCUGGUCACACGCAUGGGGAUGUUGGGUUGGAGUCCCCUCAAAAGGCACUUGUCCCCACGCUGCCCCCCGCCCCACUCAUCUCUCUGCCUUGUCCCCACAGGGAAGCCCCCCAAGACCUACGGAGGAGCCCUGGGGGCCCUGGGCUUUAGAGGUGAGCGCUGUUUGGCUUUUCCCCACCCCUCCUCCGAGCACCUUUUUGGGGCACAGCUGGGGGGCUGAUCCACUCUCCCCCCUCCAUCCCCAGGUGGAAUUGGCUGUGCACAAGGGAAAUACUGCGGGAGGAAGCGGAAGUAACCGCCCACCGUCACCGAUGACCUCAUGAACUUUGGUGCUACUGCAUGGUCCAGAAUGUAAAUCCCCACCAAGCUGAGACCCCCCUGGCCCCACGCUCCCGGCAGGGACCCCACGGCAGCGUCAGGGGCCGCCCCCCCACCUCGGGAACCCCC
RNAcentral lists this long non-coding RNA (3479 nucleotides) under Meleagris gallopavo (turkey). RNAcentral describes it as "lncRNA (ENSMGAG00000002086.3)". The record is from RNAcentral. Lineage: Eukaryota; Metazoa; Chordata; Aves; Galliformes; Phasianidae.